RNAcentral lists this ribosomal RNA (253 nucleotides) under uncultured bacterium. RNAcentral's name for it is "partial 16S ribosomal RNA". It matches the Rfam family "Bacterial small subunit ribosomal RNA", at positions 524 to 776 of the family's 1533-position model. The record is from RNAcentral.
UACGUAGGUGGCGAGCGUUGUCCGGAUUUACUGGGCGUAAAGGGAGCGUAGGCGGACUCUUAAGUGAGAUGUGAAAUACUCGGGCUCAACUUGAGUGCUGCAUUUCAAACUGGAAGUCUAGAGUGCAGGAGAGGAGAAUGGAAUUCCUAGUGUAGCGGUGAAAUGCGUAGAGAUUAGGAAGAACACCAGUGGCGAAGGCGAUUCUCUGGACUGUAACUGACGCUGAGGCUCGAAAGCGUGGGGAGCAAACAGG